UAUUAAAACUUUCAUCUAUUUGUACUAUUAUAAAUUGGCGUGAUUGAUGGAUAACCAGACAAUAACACGUGGCAUGCCAUGUGUACUCCAUGCUAACGUAGGACUGGUUUUGAACAUUAGAAAUUCAUUAAAUUUUUAACA
Gossypium raimondii (Peruvian cotton) is the source of this 141-nucleotide non-coding RNA. The record is from Rfam. NCBI's taxonomy places the organism in Eukaryota, Viridiplantae, Streptophyta, Magnoliopsida, Malvales, Malvaceae.